Molecule: ribosomal RNA, 577 nt
Filed under: Vibrio cholerae
Lineage: Bacteria; Pseudomonadati; Pseudomonadota; Gammaproteobacteria; Vibrionales; Vibrionaceae
Also listed under: 1 other name
Description: partial 23S ribosomal RNA
Rfam family: Bacterial large subunit ribosomal RNA
Source: RNAcentral
GGUUAAGUGACUAAGCGUACACGGUGGAUGCCUGGGCAGUCAGAGGCGAUGAAGGACGUACUAACUUGCGAUAAGCGCAGAUAAGGCAGUAAGAGCCGUUUGAGUCUGCGAUUUCCGAAUGGGGAAACCCAACUGCAUAAGCAGUUACUGUUAACUGAAUACAUAGGUUAACAGAGCAAACCGGGGGAACUGAAACAUCUAAGUACCCCGAGGAGAAGAAAUCAACCGAGAUUCCGGUAGUAGCGGCGAGCGAACCUGGAUUAGCCCUUAAGCACUCGGUGAAGUAGGUGAACAAGCUGGAAAGCUUGGCGAUACAGGGUGAUAGCCCCGUAACCGACGCUUCAUCGAGCGUGAAAUCGAGUAGGGCGGGACACGUGAUAUCCUGUCUGAAUAUGGGGGGACCAUCCUCCAAGGCUAAAUACUCCUGACUGACCGAUAGUGAACCAGUACCGUGAGGGAAAGGCGAAAAGAACCCCUGUGAGGGGAGUGAAAUAGAACCUGAAACCGUGUACGUACAAGCAGUAGGAGCACCUUCGUGGUGUGACUGCGUACCUUUUGUAUAAUGGGUCAGCGACUU